Molecule: ribosomal RNA, 1343 nt
Filed under: uncultured bacterium
Lineage: Bacteria
Description: 16S ribosomal RNA
Rfam family: Bacterial small subunit ribosomal RNA
Source: RNAcentral
GACGAACGCUGGCGGCGUGCUUAACACAUGCAAGUCGAACGGAAAGGCCCUGCUUUUGUGGGGUGCUCGAGUGGCGAACGGGUGAGUAACACGUGAGUAACCUGCCCUUGACUUUGGGAUAACUUCAGGAAACUGGGGCUAAUACCGGAUAGGAGCUCCUGCUGCAUGGUGGGGGUUGGAAAGUUUCGGCGGUUGGGGAUGGACUCGCGGCUUAUCAGCUUGUUGGUGGGGUAGUGGCUUACCAAGGCUUUGACGGGUAGCCGGCCUGAGAGGGUGACCGGCCACAUUGGGACUGAGAUACGGCCCAGACUCCUACGGGAGGCAGCAGUGGGGAAUAUUGCACAAUGGGCGGAAGCCUGAUGCAGCAACGCCGCGUGCGGGAUGACGGCCUUCGGGUUGUAAACCGCUUUCGCCUGUGACGAAGCGUGAGUGACGGUAAUGGGUAAAGAAGCACCGGCUAACUACGUGCCAGCAGCCGCGGUGAUACGUAGGGUGCGAGCGUUGUCCGGAUUUAUUGGGCGUAAAGGGCUCGUAGGUGGUUGAUCGCGUCGGAAGUGUAAUCUAGGGGCUUAACCCUGAGCGUGCUUUCGAUACGGGUUGACUUGAGGAAGGUAGGGGAGAAUGGAAUUCCUGGUGGAGCGGUGGAAUGCGCAGAUAUCAGGAGGAACACCAGUGGCGAAGGCGGUUCUCUGGGCCUUUCCUGACGCUGAGGAGCGAAAGCGUGGGGAGCGAACAGGCUUAGAUACCCUGGUAGUCCACGCUGUAAACGGUGGGUACUAGGUGUGGGGUCCAUUCCACGGGUUCCGUGCCGUAGCUAACGCUUUAAGUACCCCGCCUGGGGAGUACGGCCGCAAGGCUAAAACUCAAAGGAAUUGACGGGGCCCCGCACAAGCGGCGGAGCAUGCGGAUUAAUUCGAUGCAACGCGUAGAACCUUACCUGGGUUUGACAUGGAUCGGGAGUGCUCAGAGAUGGGUGUGCCUCUUUUGGGGUCGGUUCACAGGUGGUGCAUGGCUGUCGUCAGCUCGUGUCGUGAGAUGUUGGGUUAAGUCCCGCAACGAGCGCAACCCUUGUUCACUGUUGCCAGCACGUUAUGGUGGGGACUCAGUGGAGACCGCCGGGGUCAACUCGGAGGAAGGUGGGGAUGACGUCAAGUCAUCAUGCCCCUUAUGUCCAGGGCUUCACGCAUGCUACAAUGGCUGGUACAGAGAGUGGCGAGCCUGUGAGGGUGAGCGAAUCUCGGAAAGCCGGUCUCAGUUCGGAUUGGGGUCUGCAACUCGACCUCAUGAAGUCGGAGUCGCUAGUAAUCGCAGAUCAGCAACGCUGCGGUGAAUACGUUCCCGGG